GACGAACCACACGAACGUUAUUCGGAAUUACUGGGCGUAAAGCGUGCGCAGGCGGUGAUGUAAGACAGGUGUGAAAUCCCCGGGCUUAACCUGGGAACUGCAUUGGUGACUGGCAGGCUUUGAGUGUGGCAGAGGGGGGUGGAAUUCCGCGUGUAGCAGUGAAAUGCGUAGAGAUGCGGAGGAACACCGAUGGCGAAGGCAGCCCCCCUGGGCUAACACUGACGCUCAGGCACGAAAGCGUGGGGGAGCAAACAGG
Molecule: ribosomal RNA, 256 nt
Filed under: uncultured bacterium
Lineage: Bacteria
Description: partial 16S ribosomal RNA
Rfam family: Bacterial small subunit ribosomal RNA
Source: RNAcentral